RNAcentral lists this non-coding RNA (23 nucleotides) under Arabidopsis thaliana (thale cress). The record is from RNAcentral. Lineage: Eukaryota; Viridiplantae; Streptophyta; Magnoliopsida; Brassicales; Brassicaceae.
CAAUUAUCCAUCGGUUACUGCUG